ACGGGAGGCAGCAGUGGGGAAUAUUGGGCAAUGGACGCAAGUCUGACCCAGCAACGCCGCGUGAAGGAAGAAGGCUUUCGGGUUGUAAACUUCUUUUGUCAGGGAAGAGUAGAAGACGGUACCUGACGAAUAAGCCACGGCUAACUACGUGCCAGCAGCCGCGGUAAUACGUAGGUUGCAAGCGUUGUCCGGAUUUACUGGGUGUAAAGGGCGUGUAGGCGGAGCUGCAAGUCAGAUGUGAAAUCCCGGGGCUCAACCCCGGAACUGCAUUUGAAACUGUAGCCCUUGAGUAUCGGAGAGGCAAGCGGAAUUCCUAGUGUAGCGGUGAAAUGCGUAGAUAUUAGGAGGAACACCAGUGGCGAAGGCGGCUUGCUGGACGACAACUGACGCUGAGGCGCGAAAGCGUGGGGAGCAAACAGGAUUAGAUACCCUGGUA
RNAcentral lists this ribosomal RNA (436 nucleotides) under uncultured Oscillospiraceae bacterium. RNAcentral describes it as "bacterial SSU rRNA". It matches the Rfam family "Bacterial small subunit ribosomal RNA", at positions 341 to 792 of the family's 1533-position model. Lineage: Bacteria; Bacillati; Bacillota; Clostridia; Eubacteriales; Oscillospiraceae. The record is from RNAcentral.